Molecule: long non-coding RNA, 2053 nt
Filed under: Octopus sinensis (East Asian common octopus)
Lineage: Eukaryota; Metazoa; Mollusca; Cephalopoda; Octopoda; Octopodidae
Description: uncharacterized LOC118763318
Source: RNAcentral
GUGUGUGUAUAUGUUUGUGCAUACAUGUAUACAAUUUUUUAAUUUGAAUUCUGUUCGUUAAACUACUUUUACCUUUAAUACUAUAGCUAUAACAGAAAAAAUAGGUAUUUAAUCCCUUUUGACUGUGAAGAAAGCUUGCUGUAUAAAAUAUCUGGUUCAACAAUUAAGUCAUAGAUACGUAGUAGAUUUGAACUCAUAAUCCAUGAACUCCUAAUUCACUAUUUUAUCCAUUCUACUAAUUUAUCACCAAAUAUACUGAGGAUUACCUCCCAAUAAAAUUCCUUUCCUAUUAAUUCUUGUCAGUAAUCUGUAAAUCUUCAUCCUUGCUGUGAAACAACUGUUGUUAAAAAAGUACAAAACUAUAUUAACAACAGACUGAAUUUAUGCAUACUCAGUCCAUGAUGGUGUCUGAGUGGUUCUUGACUAAGAAAAACGUCUGUGAUCUAGUUUUGUGUUUUAGUUGAAACUGUUUCAUUGAAAUUACUAAAUGUCCUUUGAAAGUCCUGAGCACCAACCACUUCCAAUUUGUGCCUGCACCUCACAAGGGAACUCCAUAUUUAAAAGUAUAUAUAAAAAAUUUCUGUUCACCAUAUUGACAAUAUUCUUUAUGCAUAAGACUCACUCCAACAUUUGUUAUCGAGAGAUCCUGAAAACAUAUUUAGAAUUAGAACUUUUGUAGCAUUUCUUUUCCAUUGUGGCAUGAAAUACUCCCAAGCUUUUUGUUGGUAACAAUUUAUUUAAAAAAAAAAAAUUCUGAAAAAAAAUUAACUAAGGGAAAUAACUCAACUGGACAAAAGGCAAGCAGAAAAUUCUUAAUUAAAAUUUUCUCCACAGACUAUUUUUUCAUAGAUUUUUUUCUUCCUUUCUCUAACUAAUAGGCACAGACAUGGUUGUGCGGUAAGUAGUUUCUCAACCGUAUGUUUUGGGGUUCCGUCCCACUGCAUAGCACCUUCUGCUCUUCUGCUAUAGCUCUAGGCCGACCAAAGCCUUGUGUGUCUAUUUUGUAUAGACAGAAACUGAAAGAAUCCCUUUGGUUCACCGAAGUGAUAACUUGGCUGGUAGGCAACCCCGAGUGCUAGUUAAGUCACACCCAUCUUUUUUUCUAUCUUUCAUUAACUUGGAGAUGUUGCCAUAGACGUAUUCAUUGGUAAUUUUCUGCAUCUAUUGCUGAUAAAAGAUCAUAUAAAAGAUGUGAAGUUAGCCAAGAUACAAGUCUGACAUCCAUAAAGGAGGGUUUUCUUUCUGCUGUAAAGAUAUUAUUCUUGUCUUUUCUGAAAAGGUUGGAGGUUUACAUAUUCUUUAUAUCACUGAGCAGUUUCCAGUCAACCCUCUAUGCACUUUGAUGCCCCCACCCUCUCCAAGGUUGCUGUGAAUGUUUCCAAGAACUUGGAAUCAUAAACCUGCUUGAAUGGAGUCCCUUCAAUAACUUGAGUGACUUAUGAUAUAGCCUGACUUUGUUGCACUGAGUUUAUAUCCCUGACAGAAGGAUCUGAUCAUUUGUGAUUUCUUCCAGUAUCAAAGUGAUGUCAUUGAUAAGGUUCAAAUCAAUUAGUGUCAUCAAACGAAUCUUCUUGAGCUUCCCGUGGUGUAAUGAUGAAUUCUAGUUUCUUAUUAUCCCCAAUUGCUUGUUGAGGGCUUAGCCAAAAUGAUAACAUGUGUAGAACCCCAACCUGCUUCUCAAGCACUUUAAUUUCACUAUUCUGUGCCAUGUAUGUGUGUGGACUUGCUGGCUUGAAGGAUAUGAAGUAGUUUUCCUUAUACCUUAAGGGUCUUCAUCAUUUCUUUACUCUUAUGAAUUGAAUCAAGUGCUUUCUUGAAGUUGAUAAAUAUCAAGAUAACAGUGAAUAGGUUUUUCAUCUCUUCUAUUAUUCUUAGAAAGGACCAGGAUCUGUGCAAUAUUGCUUGCUUCAUAUGGAAACUAUUCUGGUUGUAUCUCAGCUUGGGACUAAUGGCUACAUUUAUCUUGUGAGAGAUUAUCUGAAUAUAGAGCUGCAGAAAGGCAGGUUACCCUGAUACCAUGAUAGUUGUCAGUCUUGGUAAGUGAUCUGGACUU